This 110-nucleotide ribosomal RNA is filed under the name Acanthosepion pharaonis. The record is from RNAcentral. Lineage: Eukaryota; Metazoa; Mollusca; Cephalopoda; Sepiida; Sepiidae.
CGACCAUAUCACGUUGAAACAUGGUUCUCGUACGAUCACCGAAGUUAAGCAACGUCGAGCCUGGUCAGUACCUAGAUGGGUGACCGCUUGGGAAUACCAGGUACUGUAAG